RNAcentral lists this transfer RNA (66 nucleotides) under Mycalesis mineus (dark-brand bushbrown). Its description in RNAcentral is "tRNA-Gly". The record is from RNAcentral. RNAcentral also lists the same sequence under 1 other name. Lineage: Eukaryota; Metazoa; Arthropoda; Insecta; Lepidoptera; Nymphalidae.
AUUUAUAUAAUAUAAAUAGUAUAUUUGAUUUCCAAUCAAAAAGUUUAAUAAAAAUUAAUAUAAAUA